RNAcentral lists this transfer-messenger RNA (414 nucleotides) under Patescibacteria group. RNAcentral describes it as "2-01-FULL-39-21 sp001792535 Standard tmRNA". It matches the Rfam family "transfer-messenger RNA". Rfam says of the family: Bacterial tmRNA, also known as 10Sa RNA or SsrA, is named for its dual tRNA and mRNA-like properties. Its role is to liberate the mRNA from a stalled ribosome. To accomplish this part of the tmRNA is used as a reading frame that ends in a translation stop signal. RNAcentral also lists the same sequence under 1 other name. The record is from RNAcentral.
GGGGACGUAACCGGUUUCGACGGAAAGUACUUUGACAAAACUGCAAGCCGUGUUUGGUAGAGUUUACGCAAAAACUAUCAAAAAUUAUAAACGCCAAUAUAAAAACGCGUUUCGCCAAUGCUAUGGCUAAUUUAGCAAAUAUGUUUGCUCCUCGCGAGCCGGCAUAUGCUAUGGCUUAAGCGUGAAGCGAAUGUUUGCGAAAUUUUUGUUUCCUGACCAUUUUUCGCAGGCAUAAACCCUGUUCAGGAUGCUUCGACAGAAUUUGGCUUUGGCUGUCGACUAAGAUUUAAGCCUUACUUUUAGCAUUUUUUGGCGGUUUGGCUCGCUAAAAGGAAAAAUUAAAACCGCCUAAGCUUGUAGAAGUUUUGUAGUAGUUCUUUUCGGACGAGGGUUCAACUCCCUCCGUCUCCACAA